GAGAGUCGACUCUUGCUGUCUUUGGAGUCGACCUGCCAACCAUCGGAGUCGACUCGCGUUCCACUGGAGCGACUCGAAUCUCAGACCCGAAAAUUGCUCUCUGACUUUUUCUUUGUAUUCCUCUUGGAGUCGACUCUUACUACCCUGGAGUCGACUCGGUGAACAUCGGAGUCGACUCGCGCACUUCGGGAGUCGACUCGUUGACAGGUUCUGAGUUGAAGCUUUCUGUUCGUCUGUCUGUUCUCAAUCGGAGUCGACUCGUACAGAUCGGGAGUCGACUC
RNAcentral lists this long non-coding RNA (281 nucleotides) under Phoenix dactylifera (date palm). RNAcentral's name for it is "long non-coding RNA (PDAC_LNC013778)". Lineage: Eukaryota; Viridiplantae; Streptophyta; Magnoliopsida; Arecales; Arecaceae. The record is from RNAcentral.